UAAACUUUUCUUCUUAAAGAUUAUAAAUACACAUUUUAUAUGAAGAUUUCUGGCACAUAAAAGGAUGAUUGUCUAAUACUUCAGCUAAAUGUGCUCGAUUUAUUUUCAUAACCUUCAGACAUUUGUCCAGAAGCUGCUUCCUAGAUUGCUAGCACACCCCCACAGAAAUGGACUGCAUGCAGUGGGAGGAAGUGAACUAAAAGGGUUGUAAGGAUGGAAGAAUCCAGUGAUGUGAAGCCAAAUCACAGACCUGCUCCAUUACAUGGAUCCAGAUCCUCAUAGACCACCACCAUUCCUGUGGGGCUUUUCAGCUUUUUCCCUUCUGUGCCUCUGACUGCCAGGUCUCUCUUCUAGUCCCCCUGCUCAUGCUGAUGGAAGCAGUUAAAUGAUGUUAAGACAGUCAUUUAAUCCGACUAUGCUUCAGUGUAUCAUCUUUGAGGACAAUAACCGUAUCAGUGAGAAAAAGGAUAUCAACACCUACCAUAUGUUAUAAGCAUGUUGUGGAAUAAAUGCAUUCAUAACUGAGCCCCUCGUAUUACAGUGAUGAUGGCCACUGUAUAUUAAGUAAAUAGACAUUCAACAUGUACUGAAAUGAAUGUACAUGCUUUACAUCAUUUGCUAUCUUUUCAGCCUUUUCAUUGAUAUAUUGCUGAAUAACACAUAAAAGAAAUCCAUUAUCUGCACACUGAUGGAGGAGAUAAGUGUCCCUUUCAAUGUAAAGAGUUUUUAAUUAGACCUAUGCAGCUUUUCACUGUCACUAUCAACAGAGAUUAUGGGCACUCCCCCCUCAGAACCAUUUGGCCCAUGCUAGCGGUUGUUUCCAAAAUGAGCUUUCACAGGUUUUUGCUGAGGGUAAAGUACAUUGUAACAAUUAUGAAACCACUUCUGGCUAGCAGAAGAGUGGUUUUAAAGUUUGCCAGUUUUCUAAAGCAACCUACCCUGCAUGGAGUCUAAACUAAAGAAAGCCAAAGCAGCUGCAAUAUGAAACACUGUUCUAUUACAGAGAUAUUCAAAACCAUUUUGCUACUGUACAAACAUUUAAAACAUAAAAAUAAAUGAGCUAAACUGUGAAGCUGUAGCUAUCCUAUUGUCAAGUUAAAUAAAUACUGAAGAAUAGCUGAGAACUAAAGAGUAAUUGUUGUUUCAUGACCUGUGCUUUCCAGAAGGCCACUUCAAGUACAUUUAAACACUAACUGAAGAAAAUAUGUUAAUGAAACAAGUUUCUGUGUUUGUUCAUCACCCAGUUUGGCAAUGGUCAGGAGUCCUCUGCCAACAAAAUUACUAAAGAAUUCACCCACUACUGCAGAAUAUUGAGGCAGGAUCUCAGCUUUCUUUAUUAAAAAUAAAGCACAUUUUUGGCCUUAUGGUUGCAAAGAAAACUUUCAAAGUACCAAUUGAAUGUAAAUUCACCAGGUGAUGUGUGCCUGAGUUUGCAAGCAAAUUAGAAAAAAUAGCUCUUGUAAGUGUAAACUGACCCACUGAUUUCACCUACUGAAUUAA
Long non-coding RNA from Pelodiscus sinensis (Chinese soft-shelled turtle), 1500 nucleotides. RefSeq lists it as uncharacterized. The record is from RefSeq and is a predicted model, not a curated record. Lineage: Eukaryota; Metazoa; Chordata; Testudines; Trionychidae.